CCCGUUUGAGUGUCGUGAAAUCAUCAAAACCUUUUUCUCUUUGAUCCCAAAUUUAUUUUGGUCGGGAAAAGGAUUUUGGACUUGGAGGUUCCAUGCUCGCUUUCUUUUGAAAGCGCGAGCUCCUCUCAAAUGAAUCAGUGGGGUCCGCUUUGCCGAUCCUUGACGUGAUAAGAUGCUUCUACGUUUUGGAUUUGGCACUGUCCCUUGGAUGCCUGCUUCUAACCGUCCCAUGGACAAUGAUGGUGCUCCGGUCAACCGCCGUCUACGUUGGCGGGGGGAGGCUGGACCCACAAGAAGAAAACCUUGACCUCAAA
This 314-nucleotide unclassified non-coding RNA is filed under the name uncultured Russula. Its description in RNAcentral is "sequence contains ITS1, 5.8S rRNA gene and ITS2". The record is from RNAcentral. Lineage: Eukaryota; Fungi; Basidiomycota; Agaricomycetes; Russulales; Russulaceae.